GACGAACCGUGCGAACGUUGUUCGGAAUCACUGGGCUUAAAGGGCGCGUAGGCGGGUGUCUAAGUCUGUGGUGAAAGCCCCCGGCUCAACCGGGGAAGUGCCGCGGAAACUGGGCACCUCGAGGGGGGUAGGGGCGCGUGGAACUUCCGGUGGAGCGGUGAAAUGCGUAGAUAUCGGAAGGAACGCCGGUGGCGAAAGCGACGCGCUGGGCCCUCUCUGACGCUGAGGCGCGAAAGCCAGGGGAGCAAACGGG
Molecule: ribosomal RNA, 253 nt
Filed under: uncultured bacterium
Lineage: Bacteria
Description: partial 16S ribosomal RNA
Rfam family: Bacterial small subunit ribosomal RNA
Source: RNAcentral